AGGAGAACUGGGCCUUCGACUUUGCUCAUGUUAGGGCGAGGUUCUCCUCCUGUCCCUAACAGGGCUGUGGGGGCACAUAUGGGCGUUGCAGGGCCUCUCCCCCCAUCCAGUCUAAGGAGAAUCGGGCCUUCGACUUUGCUCAUGUUAGGACAAGGUUCUCCUCCUGUUCCUAACAUGGCUUUGUUUUCGUUGUCUGAAGGGGUUAUCCCCUGUCGUUAUGAGUCCAUGCCAAAAGG
Molecule: long non-coding RNA, 236 nt
Filed under: Elaeis guineensis (African oil palm)
Lineage: Eukaryota; Viridiplantae; Streptophyta; Magnoliopsida; Arecales; Arecaceae
Description: long non-coding RNA (EGUI_LNC082765)
Source: RNAcentral